Molecule: long non-coding RNA, 233 nt
Filed under: Podarcis lilfordi (Lilford's wall lizard)
Lineage: Eukaryota; Metazoa; Chordata; Lepidosauria; Squamata; Lacertidae
Source: RNAcentral
AGGUCAGUGCUGUGCAGCUCUUGGAUCACUGAUUGGCUGGAUUAGAAAAUUCCUGUGCAGCGUUCCUCGCUCCUGGUACUGGUUUGCUUCUAACCAUUCCAGCUGCAUUCGCUUCAGAGACCUUUGGACAACUGGCAUUUCCUUGCACGAAUUAUUUGUGUGGGUGUGUGUUCCCUGACAUCUUAUGAUUUAGAGAGCUCCCUAUGAGUGUAUAAUAAUAAUAACAAUAAUAA